GAUCCUGGCUCAGAAUCAACGCUGGCGGCGUGCCUCAGACAUGCAAGUCGAACGCGAAAGUCUCCUUCGGGGGACAAGUAGAGUGGCGCACGGGUGAGUAACACGUAGGUAAUCUACCUUCGGAUGGGGAAUAACAACCGGAAACGGUUGCUAAUACCGCAUAAUGCAGCGGCACCUAAUGGUGACAGUUGUUAAAGCGGGGGAUCGAAAGACCUCGCGUCUGAAGAGGAGCCUGCGGCGGAUUAGCUAGUUGGUAAGGUAAUGGCUUACCAAGGCGACGAUCCGUAGCCGGCCUGAGAGGGCGGUCGGUCACACUGACACUGACAUACGGGUCAGACUCCUACGGGAGGCAGCAGUCGGGAAUUUUGGGCAAUGGGCGAAAGCCUGACCCAGCAACGCCGCGUGAAGGAUGAAAUCCCUCGGGAUGUAAACUUCGCAAGAACGGGAAGAAUAAGCGAGAGUUAAUACCUCUCGUGACGACGGUACCGUUUGUAAGCUCCGGCUAACUCCGUGCCAGCAGCCGCGGUAAUACGGGGGGAGCAAGCGUUGUUCGGAUUUACUGGGCGUAAAGGGCGCGUAGGCGGCCACCGCAAGUCAAUUGUGAAAUCUCCGGGCUUAACUCGGAAAGGUCAACUGAUACUGCGGGGCUAGAGUGCGGAAGGGGCAACUGGAAUUCUCGGUGUAGCGGUGAAAUGCGUAGAUAUCGAGAGGAACACCUGCGGCGAAGGCGGGUUGCUGGGCCGACACUGACGCUGAGGCGCGAAAGCUAGGGGAGCGAACG
This 781-nucleotide ribosomal RNA is filed under the name uncultured Acidobacteriota bacterium. Its description in RNAcentral is "bacterial SSU rRNA". It matches the Rfam family "Bacterial small subunit ribosomal RNA", at positions 15 to 774 of the family's 1533-position model. The record is from RNAcentral. Lineage: Bacteria; Pseudomonadati; Acidobacteriota.